UCGGGAAUUUUGGGCAAUGGGCGAAAGCCUGACCCAGCAACGCCGCGUGAGGGAUGAAGUAUUUCGGUAUGUAAACCUCGAAAGAAUGGGAAGAAUAAAUGACGGUACCAUUUAUAAGCUCCGGCUAACUACGUGCCAGCAGCCGCGGUAAUACGUAGGGAGCAAGCGCUGCUCGGAUUUACUGGGCGUAAAGGGCGCGUAGGCGGCGCGGUAAGUCACUUGUGAAAUCUCUGAGCUUAACUCAGAACGGCCAAGUGAUACUGCUGUGCUAGAGUGCGGAAGAGGCAACCGGAAUUCUUGGUGUAGCGGUGAAAUGCGUAGAUAUCAAGAGGAACACCUGAGGCGAAGGCGGGUUGCUGGGCCGACACUGACGCUGAUGCGCGAAAGCCAGGGGAGCAAACG
This 402-nucleotide ribosomal RNA is filed under the name uncultured bacterium. RNAcentral describes it as "bacterial SSU rRNA". It matches the Rfam family "Bacterial small subunit ribosomal RNA", at positions 355 to 774 of the family's 1533-position model. The record is from RNAcentral.